Molecule: long non-coding RNA, 4473 nt
Filed under: Brassica napus (rape)
Lineage: Eukaryota; Viridiplantae; Streptophyta; Magnoliopsida; Brassicales; Brassicaceae
Description: long non-coding RNA (BNAP_LNC004771)
Source: RNAcentral
GAUUACCGUUACUGGUUCGGUUCACGAGACUGAGGUAGCCUAAACCGGAAGCGGCGUCGUCUUGGUUACGUGGGACAACGAGGAAGGCGAAACCGUGACCAGGGGUAGGGUUUGUGUUGUGAGGAGUGAUGGAGAAAGUGAAAGAGGUCUUGAAAGGGUAAACAGAAGAAGCGUUGUUGGGAGGCUUGAAGGUGAUUGGGUUGAUGUAAAUGGCUCGACCAUGAGAGAAAGGAAUUCUGAAUUGGGUCAAACCGAGAGCACCCGACCGGCUCAUCCGACCGGCGUCGGGACCAUACUCUGCGUCUCCAUGGAACGAGAAGAGAUCAGAGCCAUUUAUACCGAAGUUGUUGAAUUGGAAUCUGUAAGCAGAAGUGGCUUGAGAGAUGGAGAUAGCUAUGAAGAGAUUGACGAAGCAGAGUGUUUGCAUGGUCAUCUUUGCUCUCUUUUAGAGAAGUGAAGUCAAGAUGAUGAACUUUAUAAAGAUGGAAGUUGUUGUAAUAAUGUGAUGGUGACAAGUUCGAUAAAACUUUUUACGCCCUUUGGAUUUUAAAAUUAAUAUUUAGGAUUACAUAUUAAUAUAUAGAUAUUUUAAUUUAUAAGCUUGUGUUACUUUUAUUUGUUUCUUAAUAAAGUUAUACUACUCAUAUUUUUAGAUUUUAUUAGAGUUAAAACAAAAUGUAUUAAUAAUUCAAUUUUUAAUAUAAUUAGAAAAUUUAAAAAAUUAAUUAUGUGUAUGCAGAGAGAGUAUUGUUCAACAAGAAAAGUAAUGGUAAUGGUGAAAAACAAAGGACAAUGAAACUGAAUUAUGAAUUAAAUUAUAAUGGCAUUAGAUGACAAAAGUUGUUUUCGAAGUUCCCAAGACAUGUCUUCUUUUCAUGCUGGAAAUAGAACUUUAUAACUGGUGGAGAGAAUAAAAAAACACAAUAGAAUUAAAUUCUGGAAAUCUUCUAAUUUGUUGUCAUAUCCUCUGCUCCUUUUGAUCAACCAAAAUAUAAUAAAACUCAAAAUAGAAUUAAAUUCUAGUUUAACUACUUUACAUUUUUACUUUAACUACUUUACUUUUUACUCUAAAAUAAAGUAAGGAGUAAAUACAGAGAAAUACUGAAAAGCAUACAAUUGUUUUAUUUAAAAAUAAUUUCACUUUUUUACUUUAUUUUAAAAUUAAAAAAUGGAUAUGAUUAAGAAAUUAAAAAAUGGAUAUGGUUAAUAAACUUUAUUCCAAAAUAGAAUUUAUAGUAUAAAAUGGAGUUGAGUCAAAAAAUUUAAGAAUAUUUUAUUGUAUUACUCUAUUUUUUUAUUUACAUUUGAUUAGCUUGAAAAUAAAAUUAAAAUUAAAAUUUCUCUAAUUUUAUUCUAUUUACAGUAAAGUAGAAUAAUAAAUAAAUAUAAAUAUAAUAAUAUAUAUGUUAUUUCUUUUGAAUAAUUAAAUUAUUACUUCAUUUGAAAUUAGAAAAUGGAGUAAUGUAUUUUUGAUUAAUAACGAUGGAGAAAGGUUAGAAGAAUGUAUUUUUGAUUAAUAACGAUGAAAAAAAAAUUAAUGGAGAGAACUGAAGAUGUCCUUGCAUGGCUAAUAAAUAGUUUUAUAUAGACUUUGCUUUAUAAUUUUCCACAUGACUACACAAAUUGUUAAUCUAAAUUGGUAUGUACCGAAUUUAGGUACGAAUUAAAUUUGAUACUGAAUUAUUUAGAAGAUGUUUACUGAGAAAUCAAAUGUUUGAUUAUAAGAGAAAAUACUAGAAAUUUGUAUACAGUUUAAGUAUUCUGCAAGAAGAAUUCCUUAUCUUAUACCGACUUAUGUUUUAUUAUGAACUCCUAUCUUCGAUAUAUGUUUUCUUUUGUUAUAGCCGGGUUUUUUUUUCUUUUUAAAGUUGUAUAAACCGAUUCUAAAUUAACUGGGUGAAAUUUAAUGUAUUUAAUGGGGCUUGUUUGAGAAAACCGAUUCUUAUUGGUUUUUCUUUUAAGUUAUACCGAUGUGUGUUUGUAUUAUAAGAGCAUCUCCCAUGGUGUUACCACCAUUAGAAUCCUUAGCAUUAUUAAACUUUUUUUUUUAAUUUUUCUUUGUUUGAAUAGUUAAAGAUUCUAAUCAAAAUUGUAUAUCCAAUGUUAUUCUCCAAUUUGGAGUUCUUGGGAAUUAAAAAUAUUAAAUUUUAAAACAUGUGAAAUUAAAUUUUUAUUUAUUACAUGUUAAAUAUAAAGAUACAAUAAAAUAUUAAAAUAAAAUAUUAAAAUUUAAAAAUUUUGGUGAAUGUUAAAUAGAUUUAACUCCAUUAAUUUUUUUUAUUUAUUACAUGAUUAAAUAUAAAGGUACAUGAUUAAAUAUAAAGAUAAAAUUUUAAAUUUUAAAACAUGUGCAAUUAAAAUUUCUAGCGACCCAAUGGCACAAUGCCACGUCUCUAAGGACUAAAUCCUUAAUUAAAAACCAAUUCUUAGCUAACUUAAGUUUUAUAAUAUUAUUAUAUUCAUAUUAACCUAGGAUUUUGUGGUAAGGACUUGUGAUAAACCUCCAUUGCGGCUGCUCUAAUACACUUAACAUCAGUACAACAAGAAACUAAAUUUUCGAAUUUUUUUUGGUAUUUAAAACCAUAAUUAUCGCACGAUCCUAGUUUUUCAACUAAAUGAAUGAUUUAAUUAAAUAAAAAAUAAAUAAAAACUGUGUUACCGAUCCUUAGUUAGGAUGUUUGGUGAUCGAUCCUUAAGCGCACGUGUCAGCUUGUUGUUUUUGUUUUUUUUCUAUACAAAAGCUUGUUGUUUUUUUCUCAUUUAAUCUUUUUUUAUCUCAUUUAAUCUUUUUUAACUCAUUUAAUAUAUUUUUUUCCUCUUCUAUAGAUAUCCCUACAAAUAUCGUCAAUAUUAUGGGUGUUUGAACUAGAAUUCGUGAUAAACAAAUGCAUCAACAACUGAAAGUUGAUUUGGUUGAACAUAUAUGACGUCAAUUUGGACGUGAUGAAGACAACAAAUGAGUUCAGAUGUUUUUUCAAAUUAUUCUUGAUUAUUGUACUAAUCUUUAUUUUUAUGUUUUUUAACAUCUAUGUUUUAAAUGUUAUUUUUUAAUAUGUUUUAUUUAAUAAAUAACUUUUAUCCUUAAAUUUUUUUAAACCAUUAAUUAAGAAACUCCCAUUGGACCACUCAAAAUGGGAGUUUCUUAACUAAAGUUCUUAAGUCCACUUAAAUACAUUUAUAUAAUUAAAUUAUCAUUAAGAAACCCAAGUGGGUUUCAUGGGAUAAUCAUGCUCUAAGUCUUUGGUGUGUUUCAAAAACAAAAAUGUCUUUGGUAUUAGAGUAUUAAGGUAGAGUGUUGUAUUUUUUGUUUUUGAAGUCUGAAAACUUGAUAACUUGAGCAUUUAUUCACUUCAACUAGUAGCGGGAGCCACACUAACAGAAACAUAAACAAAUCAAACGAUAAGCGAUUUGAACCGAGUAAAUCCGGUUUAUUAUUAAUAGACUCGUUUUUUUUUAAAUUAUUAAUAGACUCGUAUUGGGUUCGUACUUCGUUCUUUUAGGUUCUACCGAAGUGGGUUGUAUAAAUACAAAAAGAAAUACAAAUUUUGAUUUUGGUAUUUCAAGUCUUUGGUAUUAGGUAGAAUGUUGUAUUCAUUUUUGAAAUUUAGAAACCGACAUCUUGAGCAUUUAUUCACUUCAAUUAUUAGCGGGAGCCACUAACCGAAGCUAUCAAAACAAAACAAAAACAAACCAAGCAAAACCGAUUUAAACCGAUCUCAAAUCGAAUAAAUCCGGGUUAUUAAUUCUGGAAAGUCCAGUCCCAGAUCUCAUGACGCUCGACACCACGGCCCAUUGAACCAGCAAAACCGGCGUACAUGUUCUCGAGCAGCACAUUAGAGAGAUCGUAUUUCGCUUCAAUCAAAGGCCGGUUCGGUUUCUUCAAAUGCGCGAGCCCGAUCGUAACCGAGAUCACUUUUAAAUUGUUGUUAUACUCGAUCCAAGCCGCGUACUUAUCUCCACUGCUCAGCUUCAAAUCCUUGAACAACCAACCGUUUCUUGUCAUGACCCAAUAACCGGAUUUAACCGAAGUCACAGAGUCGACCGAAUUAAUGUCGAUUCCGACAUGGUUAUCGUUGAUGUCUUUAAAAGACUUGUCCUGAAACACAUCGAACUCAACAGCAAAGAGGUGGUUACUUGGAUUACCGUUACUGGUUCGGUUCACGAGACUUAGGAAGCCUAAACCGGAACCGGCAUGUUGGUUACUUGGGACGACGAGGAAGGCGAGACCGUGACCAGGAGUAGGGUUUGUUUUGUGUGGAGUGAUGGAGAAAGUGAAAGAGGUCUUGAAAGGGUAAACAGAAGAAGCGUUGUUGGGAGUCUUGAAGGUGAUUGGGUUGAUAAGAAUGGCUCGACCAUGAGAGAAAGGAGUUUUGUCUUUGGUCAAUGAGAGAGAACCGGACCGGGUCGUGCCGUCGGUGUCGUGACCAUACUCUGCGUCUCCAUGAAAUGAGAAGAGAUCGGUGCCGUUACCGA